UACGGAGGGUGCAAGCGUUAUCCGGAUUUAUUGGGUUUAAAGGGUGCGCAGGCGGUGCCUUAAGUCAGUGGUGAAAUCUCUUCGCUUAACGAAGAAACUGCCAUUGAUACUGAGGUUCUUGAAUCUAGUUGACGUUAGUGGAAUGUGUCAUGUAGCGGUGAAAUGCUUAGAUAUGACACAGAACACCGAUCGCGAAGGCAGCUAACGAAGCUAGUAUUGACGCUCAGGCACGACAGCAUGGGGAGCAAACAGG
Molecule: ribosomal RNA, 253 nt
Filed under: uncultured bacterium
Lineage: Bacteria
Description: partial 16S ribosomal RNA
Rfam family: Bacterial small subunit ribosomal RNA
Source: RNAcentral